AGCAGCCGCGGUAAUUCCAGCUCCAAUAGCGCAUAUUAAAGUUGUUGUGGUUAAAAAGCUCGUAGUUGAGCCUUGGGCCUGGCUGGCCGGUCCGCCUCACCGCGUGUACUGGUCCGGCCGGGCCUUUCCCUCUGUGGAACCCCAUGCCCUUCACUGGGUGUGGCGGGGAAACAGGACUUUUACUGUGAAAAAAUUAGAGUGCUCCAGGCAGGCCUAUGCUCGAAUACAUUAGCAUGGAAUAAUAGAAUAGGACGUGUGGUUCUAUUUUGUUGGUUUCUAGGACCGCCGUAAUGAUUAAUAGGGACAGUCGGGGGCAUCAGUAUUCAAUUGUCAGAGGUGAAAUUCUUGGAUUUAUUGAAGACUAACUACUGCGAAAGCAUUUGCCAAGGAUGUUUUCAUUAAUCAGGAACGAAAGUUAGGGGAUCGAAGACGAUCAGAUACCGUCGUAGUCUUAACCAUAAACUAUGCCGACUAGGGAUCGGACGGUGUUGUAUUUUGACCCG
This 503-nucleotide ribosomal RNA is filed under the name uncultured Glomeromycotina. Its description in RNAcentral is "SSU rRNA". It matches the Rfam family "Eukaryotic small subunit ribosomal RNA", at positions 569 to 1078 of the family's 1831-position model. Lineage: Eukaryota; Fungi; Glomeromycota. The record is from RNAcentral.